UUCCUGAACAAGUCAAAGGCUUCCCAUCACUCCAGAGCCAAUGACUAAAAGAUAGAAAUGCACUUGGAAUCAGGAAAGAUUCAAUCUGCAUGGCUACCCAGCUAAAGAAGGAGUUAGAGAAAGAAAGUGACCUAGCCAUGAAAUCCCAAAGAUGGAGGGAGAGAAGAGCAGAUGAGUGCUUUUCCUAUCCAAUGAUGAAAUGGGAUGAAUUGAUAGUUACAGAUUCUCUCCUUUGUGAAGUAUGCAAAAUAUUUCCAUGAAAGUCAUGUUGUAAAAGAAAACAGCUCUCCCACCCUAAUAAAAAAACAAGACCUUCAAGAAAAAUAAAAUUGAGAGAGAGA
Long non-coding RNA from Antechinus flavipes (yellow-footed antechinus), 341 nucleotides. RefSeq lists it as uncharacterized. The record is from RefSeq and is a predicted model, not a curated record. Lineage: Eukaryota; Metazoa; Chordata; Mammalia; Dasyuromorphia; Dasyuridae. The transcript is spliced from 2 exons.